RNAcentral lists this long non-coding RNA (300 nucleotides) under Nicotiana benthamiana. RNAcentral describes it as "long non-coding RNA (NBEN_LNC041915)". The record is from RNAcentral. Lineage: Eukaryota; Viridiplantae; Streptophyta; Magnoliopsida; Solanales; Solanaceae.
UAAUCGAAAAAAUUAAAUUAGGAAGAGAGAAAUACCUUAAACUUUUUGAGAAGAUUCUUGAGACGGUAGAGUCUCGUGCUGAUAACGUAUUAUGAAAUAAUAUAAGAACGAGAACAAUAAUACAAGAACAAGAACAAUAGAGAGAAAGGUAGAGAGAGCAGUAUUCUUAUUAAUACUUUUGGGAUGAUUUACAAUGGGGUAAGACCCCUCUAUUUAUAGGAAGAUAAAAGACUUAGCCUUGAAGUAAGACUCUUCUUAUAAGAUAGACAUUCACCUUAAAUAGAGUUCUAUUUAUAACAA